GCCUUCUUAGCUCAGUGGUAGAGCGUUGGUCUCGUAUUCAACUAAAGUUAAUCAAAGGCCGAGAGUUCAAUCCUCUCAGGAGGCA
This 85-nucleotide transfer RNA is filed under the name Daphnia magna. It matches the Rfam family "tRNA". From Rfam's summary of the family: Transfer RNA (tRNA) molecules are approximately 80 nucleotides in length. The record is from Rfam by way of RNAcentral. Lineage: Eukaryota; Metazoa; Arthropoda; Branchiopoda; Diplostraca; Daphniidae.